RNAcentral lists this ribosomal RNA (541 nucleotides) under uncultured Acidobacteriota bacterium. RNAcentral's name for it is "bacterial SSU rRNA". It matches the Rfam family "Bacterial small subunit ribosomal RNA", at positions 13 to 529 of the family's 1533-position model. The record is from RNAcentral. Lineage: Bacteria; Pseudomonadati; Acidobacteriota.
UUGAUCCUGGCUCAGAAUCAACGCUGGCGGCGUGCCUCAGACAUGCAAGUCGAACGCGAAAGGCUCCUUCGGGGGCUGAGUAGAGUGGCGCUCGGGUGAUUAACACGUAGGUAAUCUACCUUUGGGUGGGGAAUAACAGCCGGAAACGGUUGCUAAUACCGCAUAAUGCAGCGGCUCGACAUCGAGACAGUUGUUAAAGUGGAGGAUUCCGCAAGGAACUUCGCGCCUGAAGAGGAGCCUGCGGCAGAUUAGGUUGUUGGUGAGGUAAUGGCUCACCAAGCCUGCGAUCUGUAGCCGGCUUGAGAGGGCGGUCGGCCACACUGACACUUAAAUACGGGUCAGACUCCUAUGGGAGGCAGCAGUCGGGAAUUUUGGGCAAUGGGCGCAAGCCUGACCCAGUAACGCCGCGUGAGGGAUGAAAUCCUUCGGGAUGUAAACCUCGUAAGAAUUGGAAGAAUAAGUAGGGGCUAAUACCCCCUAUGAUGACGGUACCAUUUGUUAGCUCCGGCUAACUCCGUGCCAGCAGCCGCGGUAAUAAGGU